RNAcentral lists this long non-coding RNA (243 nucleotides) under Setaria viridis. Its description in RNAcentral is "long non-coding RNA (SVIR_LNC001482)". Lineage: Eukaryota; Viridiplantae; Streptophyta; Magnoliopsida; Poales; Poaceae. The record is from RNAcentral.
GUGUUGUAUAUAUUAUUUAAGGAUAUUUUUUAUGACAAUAUACAAGUAGAGGUGUUGUAUAUAAUUGCGUGAUUUUUUAGUGUUAAAUAUCUUGUAAGUUUUAAUGUAAGUUUUCAUGUAAAUUUCAUGUAAUAAAUUUGUUUGAGGUGUUUUAUAUAUAAUUUAAUGUAUGGUUUCAUGUGUAUAUUUCAAUCAAUUUCUUUUAUUUCAUGUUUGUUCUAUGAUUUCAUAUUUACACCUUAA